Molecule: ribosomal RNA, 124 nt
Filed under: Neogale vison (American mink)
Lineage: Eukaryota; Metazoa; Chordata; Mammalia; Carnivora; Mustelidae
Source: RNAcentral
GUCUACGGCCAUACCACCCUGAAUGCGCCCGAUCUCGUCUGAUCUCGGAAGCUAAGCAGGGUCGGGCCUGUUUAGUACUUGGUAGGGAGACAGAGGGGACGGAUCUGCCCAGGCACUGUUGGAA